CUAUGCCUCCCUCGCCGCCAAAUUCCGCCCGUCACUGCCGCUCGGUCGCCGCUUCGCCAUCGAUCUACCUCUGCGUCGCCUCUCGCAUCGUCGCGUCGUCGGUCUACACCGCCAAACGCCGAUCCCCGCCGCCAAGCAUCGCCCUGUCGCUCCUCCUCCUCGACGUCGUCAUCGCCGGUGAGCUCUCGCUCUCUCCUUCCUCCUCCCUCCGUUAUCCUCGGCCGCGCUCGUCGCCGCCUCGGUCUCCCGUUCCCCUUCCUCCCCUACCGCCACGCCCACGUCGGCGCUGCCCCGCCGCCGCGCCGCUUGCCCAUACCGUCACCCCUGCUCGGCCUUGGCCGCCGUCACCUCCUUGCGUUGUCGCCCCUCUUGGCCACCGCAGCCUCUAGCGNNNNNNNNNNNNNNNNNNNNNNNNNNNNNNNNNNNNNNNNNNNNNNNNNNNNNNNNCCCCCCUCGCGCGUCGCCCACCAGCGCUGCCAUCCACCGCACGCUCGGUCAGCGCCAGUCCUCUCUCCCUCUCUUGCUCUCACUGACGGGUGGGCCCAGCCCGUCAGUUCUCCCCACCCCUCUCUUACCUGGCCUGUGGGCCCACUUUGUCAGCCUCUUCUCCCUCUCGCUUUCUCUGCGAAUUGGUCCCCACUGUCAGCCCCUCUUUUUCCCUUGUCUCACUGUCCAGUGGGCCCCACUUGUCAGCACAUCCUCCAAUGCUGACGUCACUCCUCCAACUUAUUACGUAAUAAAUUCAUUAAGGAUUUUCUGUUUAGCUUAAAAUACAGUUAAACUUCUAAAAUUCAUAACUAAUUCAUCUAGUCUCCGUUUUAGUCGAUUCAAAUUUUAUUAAAUCCAGAAAAAUACAUAAUCCAUUAAAAAUAGUUUCUUUCUCAGCUUUAUAGCUUGUUUUUGCCUGUUUGUCGUAGGUUUUUUUUGCCCAUUAUAGCGCCGAUCGUCCUCAAAAUCGUCACCAAAGUUCCUCGUGGGUCAGAGCAAGGCAAGUGGCACCCGUCUUUGAUCAUAUUGAACCUAUAUUUAUAAAAUUCUCUGCUUUAAUUUCAAACAUGCAUUAUUUUAUGUAAAUUUACUUUUAUAUGUUUAUCUAUUGGGCAUUUACCUUUAUAUCCAUUGAUUUCCCAAAUAUUGUUAUGGUCAUCUCAGGGUUAAUUUGACUAGAAUUAGGAUUAGACAAUGCUUAGUCAUGCUUGGUUCAACUAGCUCACAUGUUCUUAAAUAAUUAAUGAUAGACUUUAUAGCAGUUGUUGAUCAUGAUUAAUCUCCCGUUAUGAAUUAAAUACAACUAAAAUAUUGCUUAUGGUAGGCUGUGGGUGCAUGGUUUUGAGAGUCGUGCCCAUGAUAGUUAAGGACCGGUUCUCGAAAAACCCUAAAAGUCUUAGAGCAGGUACAAUAGCAGGCUAUAAGCCAACUAUAAGCAUAUUUUAUAGAGAUAAGAGAGGAGAGAGAAGAGAGGUGGGCUACUAAAUUGUAGUCAGCUACACAUGGACUACAAGACACCAGCGCAUGUUUAAGUGUAGUGGAACCAUGUCUUGUGGGUAAAGUUGUACACCUCUAAUUAGAGUAAAACUAUUCGAAUAGUCGUGUCCACGGUUAUGUGGCGAACUGACAGACUCAUUGGGAUUAGUUGAACCUUAAUAACCUGAUUAAUUUGAAAUUGGUUUGACCCUAUCAACGUGAUGUAACGUUGGCAGUGGAUUGGGUCUGUCGUAACAUGGUGUAACGUUGGGCAGAGGAUUGACCCUGUCGCUACGUGGUGUAACGUUCGACAACGGUUUGGGCCUAUUGCAACGUGGUGUAACGUUGGACAGUGGAUGAUUAUUUCAAAUGUUUACUUUACUUUUUAUUUUGCUAAAUAAAUACUACUUAUGCAAAAUUAACCUAGGCUAUCCUUGAUUCCCUAUUGCAUUCAUUGUUCUUCAUCUCUUGGGUGUUAGUCGGUGAGUAUCGUGGUUCGUACUCAGCCUUGCUUAAUUUUUCCCCACCAGAGCAUGUGCCAAAGCCUUUGUCAGAUGGAGGUACUUUCGAAGGUUGAAGUGAGGUUCAGUCCGCGGCCGUCAAGAAUGCCUGUGGUGUGGAGUCAUCAUCGCCAAGCUGAAGAUUAGAUGUUUCUAGUCUUGUUUUUCUUUUCCGCUAUAUUUCGAUAGAUAAUUGUUUUUAUUUGUUUUUAAGUCGUGAAACUGUGUAUUGAUUUCUCAUAGUGUGUACUCGGGUUGAUUCUUAGACCGAGAUUUAAUACAUGCAAUUGUUCGGAAAUUGGUGUAAAUUUCUAGGCGUGACACCGCGCCAGUAGGUUUGGAAGUAACAUAAAAUAUAAAUUACGUGGUGCGGAUAGAAAUUACAUUGUAUACUAUUUGGGUUUCAAUCUUCGGUCAUUGUGGUUUCGUCGGUUUCUAAACUUCAGUCUAUUUUACGUGGUAUAGAUCAUAUUUGCGC
This 2442-nucleotide long non-coding RNA is filed under the name Oryza brachyantha (malo sina). RNAcentral's name for it is "long non-coding RNA (OBRA_LNC000437)". The record is from RNAcentral. Lineage: Eukaryota; Viridiplantae; Streptophyta; Magnoliopsida; Poales; Poaceae.